Molecule: ribosomal RNA, 551 nt
Filed under: uncultured bacterium
Lineage: Bacteria
Description: bacterial SSU rRNA
Rfam family: Bacterial small subunit ribosomal RNA
Source: RNAcentral
UAGGGAAUCUUCGGCAAUGGGGGCAACCCUGACCANAGCAACGCCGCGUGAGUGAAGAAGGUUUUCGGAUCGUAAAGCUCUGUUGUAAGAGAAGAACGAGUGUGAGAGUGGAAAGUUCACACUGUGACGGUAAGUUACCAGAAAGGGACGGCUAACUACGUGCCAGCAGCCGCGGUAAUACGUAGGUCCCGAGCGUUAUCCGGAUUUAUUGGGCGUAAAGCGAGCGCAGGCGGUUAGAUAAGUCUGAAGUUAAAGGCUGUGGCUUAACCAUAGUACGCUUUGGAAACUGUUUAACUUGAGUGCAGAAGGGGAGAGUGGAAUUCCAUGUGUAGCGGUGAAAUGCGUAGAUAUAUGGAGGAACACCGGUGGCGAAAGCGGCUCUCUGGUCUGUAACUGACGCUGAGGCUCGAAAGCGUGGGGAGCAAACAGGAUUAGAUACCCUGGUAGUCCACGCCGUAAACGAUGAGUGCUAGGUGUUGGGUCCUUUCCGGGACUCAGUGCCGCAGCUAACGCAUUAAGCACUCCGCCUGGGGAGUACGACCGCAAGGUUG